Molecule: non-coding RNA, 135 nt
Organism: Hordeum vulgare subsp. vulgare (domesticated barley)
Lineage: Eukaryota; Viridiplantae; Streptophyta; Magnoliopsida; Poales; Poaceae
Source: Rfam
AUAAUACUCUCUCCGUCCCAAAAUUCUUGUCUUAAGUUGUUUAGAAAUGGAUGUAUCAAAAUACUAAAAUGUGAUUAGAUACAUUCAUAUCUAGACACAUCUAAGACAAGAAUUUUGGGACUGAGGGAGUAAUAA